Molecule: long non-coding RNA, 18653 nt
Organism: Heterocephalus glaber (naked mole-rat)
Lineage: Eukaryota; Metazoa; Chordata; Mammalia; Rodentia; Bathyergidae
Source: Ensembl
AGAGGGGCUUGUGUGGCUGUCUCCAGACCUGGUUGCCUUAGGCUGAGCUUCUGCAUUCCAAGUGGGUCCUCACAGCUAACUUCAAGCUGAGCAGGGUAAAAUUCUUCUUUUUGUCCCACUGGGCUGCCAGCAUGCUUACCCUUUCCAAUUUGGGUCAGCAGAUAGGAAGCUUACCACCCACCUGUGUGUCCAAUGGGAUGGAAUCACUUAGAUUUACCUGAGGCCUUGGUCAAUGCUAAUCUCAUUUUGAGGUUCUCAUCAGUGAGAUAAAAUGUUGAUUAAAGAAGACCAGGUUGCCUAUUAUCCCAGCACUUGGGAGGCUAAGGCAGGAGGUUUGCCACUAGUUUGAGGCCAGCCUGGGCCAUAUAGACAGCUCAAGGCCAGCCUAAACUACAUAGCAAGACUCUGCCUAAAAACAAAAACAAAAACAAAAACAAAGCAAAACUCUCAAACAAAUAAACAAACAACAAAAAAAAGAGGACCAGGUUACUCCAGCAUCCUUGGCAGAUGUGUUGCCACUAGUUGAUGGUCUGUGAAGAAUGCUCUGGGGUCUCAGGAGAACCAUGUACUUCAUAAGGCCUCAAUGUCCUUGCUUGAGGGAGGAGUCUUACUUACAAAGGUGGGACAGGGAUGUGGUGGAGAAGGUGAGAAGAGCGACCAAGCCCAAAGCCCUUGGUUACCAGCAUGUGAUAGGUAAUGUACCCAGCUAUCCAGUACUCUGCCUGCUCCACCUUCCAUUUCCCCAGAUCUGGAGAAAGUUGCUGGUGACUCAAGGAAACCUGAUUCCUCCGGCUCAGAGGAGCUGACAGCCAACAGCCAAGACAGGUUAAUUGGGGUGUGGGGCCACCUACUGGUCACCCGGGUGAGUAUUCAGUGGACACCUACUAUGUGCCAGUAUUUGAGGGAACUGUGGGGUAGGAGAGGUACCACAACCUCAUAAUGAACAGCUGCUGUUUACUGAAUGCCUACUGUGUGCCAUGACUGUGCUGUCUGUGGCUCAUCUUAUUUAGUUCUCACAUUUUCAUGUUACAGAGAACCUGAGCUCCAAGCUCUUAGCCAUUGCCCUCUCUGCUAAAGGAGGUCAGAAAAAGGAAAUGCUUCUCAGAAAGCUUCCCAGAUAUGACAGUGUGAACUCAAAGGCAAGUCAUAUUUGGAUGGACAAGAUUUAGAGAAAGAGCACUGCAGCUAGCAGGUGCAAGGUAGAACAAGGUGUUCUGUGUGAAGAACUAAGAGUAAGUUUGUUUAACAGGUGAGAGGCAGCCACAGCAGGGGUGUCUCUCAUUUCCUCACCCCCUUCCUGAAAAACAUCAAAGUAGGGUUCUCAGGGCAAGACAGUGGGCACCUUGUGGCAACUUUUCCCUCUUAGAGCCCCCAAGGGAGAGCAAACAGGUAAAGAAGAGGUGAUGGGGCUGAGGAGACAGCUGGAGAGAUUGAGGAGCCUGCCUUAUCUUGCAAAACCAGCCCCUGCUACAGGGCCUGUGUGGAAAAAACAAGUUAUACCCCAAUCCUCAUGCCCCUCUGGCUCUGCAUCCAUAACAAAUCAGGGAGCAUUAACUCUUAUACCUGACAGAUUCUGUGUGCAGCAGUGUGAGUCAGGCCUCUUAGCCACCCCAUGAAACAGCUUCCCCAUGCAGGGACCUACCCCAGCUCAGCCUCCCUUUUAGGUGAUAGGACUCUGACUCAGGGGCCAUGUCUCCCCAGCUUAGCUGCUAGAGUUGAAUGGAGGUCUCAGGGGUCACUGAGAAAGGCCAGAUGAGAGAGUUACUGGGCUGCUCAGGCCUGGGCCUGGCUAACUACUGUUAAUAUCUUGCAGCUCAGGUUUUGUGCCUUGUCAGGUACCAGGUAUCUCACACAUGGCCUCCUUUACAUUUCUGCUCUUCCAGUAACUCUCCUGGACAUAAAUUAUGUCCAUUUUGCAGAAAAAGUUACCGAAGCUUUAAUGGUACUAGAAGUACCAUGUUUCUGAAUGGUAUGUGGUAGGACCUGGGUUUGAACCUGGAACUUUGGGCUCCACAAUGCCCUCCCUAAGAGGAAGACCGUCACUGCUAAGAGUCUCAAUGUCACUGACUCCUUCCCUGACCUGGUCUAGUUAGAAGUGUCAUACACCUGCUUUUCCUCUCUCUUGACCCUUUAUGUCUCUGGCUGUCAGAAAAAGGAUGCUUGAAGUGAUCUUCCUUGGCCUUGAGGCAGGGAGCACCCAGCACCUCUCAGGGAGGUUUAAAGUCAGGGUACUUCUCUGAAAAUGAGAUGGAUGUUGUGCCUUAUUUCCACAUCUUGGUUCCCCUUCUGACUGUUUUGUGACAUCAGACAACCCCCUUAAUCACUCAAUUUCCUCAUUAGACCAUGUGGAGAGCAAUGCCCCCCCCCCCGACUGUAAGACUGUGAAAGGUAAGGCAUGACAUUCUACACAGUUCCCAGCAUGUCAUAAGUUCAAAAAAAGAAAAUUCACCUCACACAAGAGGCUAUCUGGGGAUAAUGGUAUUCAGGGAAGUGUUGAAUCACAUGUUAAAGCCUGGAAGAGAGGCUGUCUUCCUGACAGAAGCUGCAGUCAGUGCUCCUGUCUGACUGAGCUGCACACCUGCGCUUGGGGUCUUUCUGUGAAGGCCCCUGUCAAGCUGGGGCCUAGCAGACUGCAGUAGGGCUGCCAGGACUGGUGGGGUGACAGGCAAGGCUCUGCCCAGUGGUAGCUAGGCAGGUCUAGAAAGUCCCUCCUCACACAGUCUUGGAGGGUUCCAGAGACUGUGGGGGCACAGGUGAAGGCAUUGCACCAGCUGGAUGAGGGAAUGGACUGGCCUAGUUUGCCUACAGUGGUCAGGCUUUCCUAUGUUGUUGACUGGGACAAGCCAAGCAGAUGACACUCUUUCUCUAGUGAUAGCCCACAGGCAAAGACAGGGAUAAAAGAGUCAGGGAAGCCUUUGAAUAGGGGACACUCAGCUAGGACAAAUAAGUUGGCUAUAAGAAGAGGAGAAGAAGGGCAUCCGUGUAGAAAAAUUAGCAAGUGCAAAGGCAUAGCAGCUCAAAAGGUCUUUGAGUAUCUGAGGAGAGAAGUGAGUCACAUUGUACCUGGAGAGUGCAGUUCUCUACCAGGAAGGAGAAAGCAUAUGAGCAUCUUUCUGGGAACCAAGUAAUAAAGCUUUUUGGAGAUGCCUUUUUCUAGAUUCUGCCACUGACCACCUAGAACAGGGUCUGGCCUAGGGCUCAUGAUAGCCUGACCAGAUGUAACCUGUCCCUUGACUCUAUAGAGAGAACAUCAGAUCCUGAAAUGGCUUUACUGUCUUAUUGUUGGCAAUAGAAUGAUCCCACUAAACCAUGGAUACAAACCUCCCUGGUGCUGGUAAUAUCAGCAAAGCCAACAACUGUGUCUGUUUCCACAAGAAGCAACAACUAACCUCUGAAGAUAGAUUCUUUAGAGAUAAGGCCUUCCCGCUGGUCUUCAGAAAGAAGGGGUCAGUUACUCUUAACUUCUGUAGCUGGAGUUUGAUCUCAUUGGAGUUGUGUGGGUGCUUGGGUGAAGAUCCUGGGAUGGGGUGAGCAGAGAUUCUCAGGAAUAGUGCUGCACCAUAAUCUCAGCCAGCAACAAGUUCCUUCUCCACCUAUCACAUGAAUCAAUGCAGGUCAGGGGCUGGCCUAGACUGGAGGUAUUCCUUCUAGGAUAGCCAACCCUCCUCCCAUAUCCACCUGUCAGGGCCCAACUCUGGACAAUUUUCUUCGGAUACUCUGGAUGUCAGAUGGGUUUCCUCAGAAGACCUAGGUCCCAUGGAAUGAAUCCUUCCUGACUGAAGGUGCUUGGAGGAUAAGGUAAAUGUAGAAGGAGUUUAGUGGGGGAGAAAAUGGCUGGUUUAUGCCUUCUGAAAGGAAGGUAGUCAGAAGGAGCUGACUUGUCCAAGGUCACACAGAAGUUUAGUAGCUGGACUUGUGAAUGAAAGAAAGUUUCUGGAAGACAAUCCCAAUUUUGAGGCCAGGACAUCAGAACUAUAGGGACCUAGAAGAACUUGUGGAUUCCAGCUUCAAGAUUUCUAAUGUUUCCUCCACAGAGUCCAAUUACCUGGAAGGAGAAAUCAUACUCUUUGGGCCUCUGUACUUUCUUGCUUCCAUGCUCACCCUCCUGGGUUGGCAAAGCUCAGCCCUCCAUGGACAGGAAUGAGUCUAGGAAUAGUGAAAGUCAGUCAAGUAUGUUCAGAAAUGGCUUUGGGACCUGGGAUGAAUGGAAACCUCUGGAUAGAGUCUGAGAAAGUCAGGGUUGGAACAUGCCUUGUCGUAUUUAAUUCUAGUUUUAUAAAUGAGAAAACAGAGGCUCACAAGUUAUCUUCUUAGUCUAGACUGCCCCUGCCUGCAUGAGCAGAUUUCCUGGCCUCUCGUUUGGCCACCUUUCCUUCCCUGGCCUCUGAGUUCCUUCCCAGGUCCCUCUGGCUCUCACCCUUUUCUGCAGAGCUGUUUUCCCUUUUUUACUUCUUUGUGGGUAAGGACUUUCUCACUAACUGUACUUGAGGGCUCUGUGGCUUUGAAUUAGGCUUCCGUGGGUUUUCUUCCCAGAGGGCUUUGGAUGAGAACAGCAUCAACAUUUGUCACUGAGAGAAGGUAUAAGGGGUUUUGCCUGUGGCCAGAGACAAGACUGGGUAUCUGGAGAGGCUGGUGCUGGAGUUGCUGGGCUACUGGGACCCAGAGCCUGGAGGGUUGAGAGUAGGACUUUCAGGCCCCAGGUCUGCCCUUUACAGGUUCUGGAGUCCAGGGCACUUUGAGCCUGAAAACACUGGCUCCUGGGCUGGCUGCUGAUGUUCCCCUCCUUGUUACUCUUGGAAUUGGAACUGCCCAAAGGCUGGACACACAUGAGGGACUUCCUGGCUGCACUUUGUAGUUGUGGAAAUGUUGGAAGCCACGGCCAUUUGGAGUUGGAAUCUCUAUUCUCUGGCUGGAGAUGUGGCUGGUCCUGUCAGGCUCCAUACCAAAAUGUCUUCUCAGAAUCAGGGAUGUUGCAGGUCCUGGGAGUAGAGUGGCAGCUUUGCUUGGUGUUGGGACAUGAAGUAGGUUUUUUGGAAGGAAGAUAGGACUUUGAGGUGGUCAGAGCAGAGAGGGCACAGCAUGCUCAUGGGAAAGAUCUUGCUGUAUCUGGGGAUGGGUCCAGCCCAGGGUGGGAAAAUACAUGUCAAGCUGAGUACAGACAUUGCUUUGGAGACAGCAGGGAGCCACUAAAGACCCUUACACUUAAAUAAAGUGACGGGUUGCCCUAGUUAUUUUCUUGUUGCUGAGACACAAUACCCAACACCUACAAUGUAAAGGAGAAGAGGUUUAUUUUAGCUUAUAGUUUCAGUCCAUGGUCAGCUGGCUCCGAGGCAGUAACAACAUGGCAGAGGGACAUAGAGAGGGAAAAGCUACUCAUAUCAUGGGAGCCAGGAAGCAGACAAUGAAAGGAGCCGGGGACAGAGAUAGAUCCUUCUAGAUAAUGCCACCAGUGACCCUCCUCUUUCAGUCAGGCCCCCAUUCCUAACAGAAUCCACUGAUAAGUAUUAUCACUCCCACUUCCCAAAAGCCCAACUUCUGAACAUGUGAGCCUUUUAGGGAACAUUCUAGAUCUAAAUCAUAACACAAGUUAAGAGAGUGAUUGGGACAUCUUCACCUGGGGUUGGAGGUGAGGAAGCAGGAGAGGGGAACUCACCUAACAAUCUUUCCUGGACCUCUCCAAGGGUGACUGAGACUGUGGCUGGAUGCUCAGGGACAGCAUCCCAAGCUGGGCAAUUCCCAAGCAAGUCACAAUCAGUCCCUGGCUCAUGCUCACCCUUGGUUAGAGACUUCCUCAACAAGCAAUCCUUGGGACCAUCUUAAACUGGCCUAGGUGUUUUCCGGGCAAGCCCAGCCAUUCUUAUGCUUCCAGCCCUGUGGUUGUCCCUGACCUGGGACUUCCUGUCCAGGGGAAGGAGGGAGGAAAACUCAUGUUAUUGACAGAUGGAUGUUGAAACCCAUAGCUUUCCAUUCCAUCUCUUUUGCCCUCCCCACCCGAUAGAUCUCGUCCAGGUCAUCCCACUCCCUCCAUCUUAGAGCAGCCUGGGCAGCAGUCCUAAGAGGCAAGUGUUUGCCUUUUCAUCCAUUUCACACCUAAUGCCUUUUGAUGAACCAAGUCUGCUUUUACUUCACGGUCCCUGCUUGUCCCUUGACUUCAGAGUUCCUGCAGCCCUGAGCCAUAUCAGAACCUUCCUGGAGCCUCCACCUUUAGAACCUGCCUUAGCCUGGAAGAUGCCUGCAUUUACUACAGGUUCUGUGGGUAAUGUUUCUCCACUGGUGUGUUGGGAGCCUGGAUCCCAGGAUGUACUCAUAGUGGUCUCUCUGGUCAGUGGUUGUCACCGCUAAGGCACCUUUACCUUUCCUGUCAUUCAAGAAACCCUUGGCAUUCUCUUCACAUCAGGACAAGAGCACAAAAACAUAAUAUAUAUUUUGAAAGUGGGAGAAAAAGAGAGAGCCUCCUCUACUUCUUUCUUCCCCAACAUAUCUUCCACAGCUUCUAGUCUAAUCCCAGUGGAGUGUCAUAGUCCUUGGUCUGGCUCUGCCCACUUCAGGUUCUGCAGAAUUUCCAAGUUCAGCCCCUUGAAGAUUGUGGCCCCUGCUCUCUACUAGUAUAGAGAAGGAAGACUGGGGUAUGGUAAUGCAUGCCUAUAAUCCCAGCAAUCUGGGAGACUGAGACAGAAGGAUUGCAAGUUUGAACACAGGCUGGGAAAAUCAGUGGCUUAGCAAGACACAGUCUCAAAAUAAAUAACAAAAAAAGCCAGGGAUGUAGCUCAGAGCAAAGGCAAGGAAAUGCCUGGAGCUCUGGGGCUGGCUGUUGUAUAUGUGAUCUUGGAUAGGCUUUUUUCCUUCUCUGGAAUCUGUUUCCUUGGUGGUGAAAUGGCCCGAGUGAUACUCACAGGGUUAUUUGGAAAAUUUAAUGCGAUAGUAUAUGAGUACAGAGCUGAAUUGAAAAUCUAAGAGGUGAGUUACUCUAGGAUAGGGGGAGUAGAAUAACCUGGACCAGGUCUAUUGUGUGGGGAGGGGGAAGGAGGUGAAGGGGAAAUAGCAUCUGAUAUGACAGGGAGGUCUGGUGAAUUAGGAGUCCAGAGGCUCCUGUGCCAUGCUGAGGUCUCUGCUGAGCAGAUACCGAGGGUAGUCUGUUGUUUACCUAGAAGAAUUUAUAAUAAUCAAAAUCCUGGGAUGUAUAGAGCCAGAGAAAAUACUAUUUGGACAGUGGCCAGCCUGGAGGAAGGAGAGAGUAGGUGCAGGGAGCAGGAGAUGGAAUCUUCCUCUCCGAAGACCACAGCUACGCUCAUGAAUUUGAGUCAUCCUGCAGACCUUAAGUGUUGGAGAAGGGGAGGUCAGUCCCAUAUUCCUUGCCUCUAGGACUAGUUGACUAGGGGAGAAAGCUUCCUAAGCAAAAGAUGCAUGUAAGUACACAAGGCCUUCAGCCUUCUGCUCCAGCCUUGUGCCCUGGCAGACCUAUCCCAUCUCACCCAGCACAGAUCCACACCCUUCCAGCUCUCCAGAGAUAAGUUUCUGAGUACAGAAGUCAAAGCCUGGAUUGAACCUGUUGAAUGAAUAGGAUCAAAUACAUUCUUUCUAUCCCCAGGCUGAAUUUCUCCAACCCCUCCAGACCACAUUCAAGGAAGAGUUACAAAAAUGUCCUCUUGGUUCCCAGAGGAAUAGAAUGCAGCUGUUUAGGUCUGUGAUGGGCUCAUAAAAUUGUCUACUGGCCAGUGUUACGCUCAAACAAAAAACUUCUGAAUUUUGUUUUUGAGGCCCUUAGAAGAGAACAAAAUCUCAGACUUAGCUGGGGUGGAUGUCCAUGAGAAGAAGGGACUGUGUGUGAGAAAAAUUAUAGGGGCAAAAGUGAAGGAAGGCAGACCAACAAGGAGGCUGCAGGAUUCCAAGUGAGAGGGAGGUGGCUUGGGUUGAGAGAUCUUGGAUGGAUUUGGAGUUGAAGUCCCAGAACUCACUGUGGAAUGGAUAUGUGGAGAAGGAGAAAGGAUGACUAGUAGUGAUAAGCCUGAGCUGCUGAGGAACUAGAGGUGCUGGCCACUUUUCCUUCCCCAAGGUACUAAAAGACACCAAGGUAUCAGGAAGGUAGCUGGAUUGAGGGAGCUUGAGCCAUAACAUUGAGAGACAUCAUAAUCUAGUUGGGGUCCAAGGUCACAAGACCAGGCAAGACAGGAAAGAAUGGGAAGUGAGAUGAAAAGGAGUCUCAGUCCUGGGGCAGAGGUUAGGGAGAUAUGAAGAUAUCAGAAGAGUAGAAUGAGCGGGGCACCCAGGCAGGAAGAAAGCUAAGUGUAUGGUCCUGCUUCAAUAUGCAUAGCGGAUUGAUUCCAGGACAUCCUGUGGAUGCCAAAACCUGUGGAUGCUCCAGUCUCUUACAUAAUAUGGUACAGUAUUUGCAUAUAACCUGUGCAAUUCUCCUGUGUACUUUAAAUCAUCUCUAGAUCACUUAUAAUGCCUAAUACAAUGUAACCACCGUGCUAGUAGUUAUUAUGCUGUAUUUUUUAGUGGAUGAUGACAAGAAAAGUUUUUCUGUGUUCAGCCUAGACACAAUCUUUAAAAAUAUUUUCAAUCCACAAGAAUUUGUUGAAUCCACUGAUCUGGAAACCACAGAUAUGGACAGCUGACUCUAUAGUUUAUUAUAAGCUUGUAAAAGCAAGUGUGCCAAGAAAGAAAUGGUCACUGUGUUGGAUACUGCUGAGUAGGAAAAGUAGGACAAGGACAGAGAAACAAUCAUCAGAUUUGCCAUCACAGACAUCCUUGAUAGCAUUAAUGUGGGAUUUCCAUGGAGCAAUAGGGAUGAAAGUCCAAAUGGGCAAAAUAGGAGCUGCCAGUGUGAAGGUAGAGGCAAGGAGUACAGUGCAGGGGGAUGACUGCCUUUUUCCAACCAUUGUGUGAGAGGCACUGAGGGGCUCUAGGCUUUGCCGAGUGACCACAGCCCUCAGUCAUCACAAAGAGAAAAAGGCCUUGUGUCUUGGAAGUCAAGGCUUGGGCUUGCCAGGGUAGAUUAGUAGAUGAGUGGGGCUGGGGAGGAUGAGGUAGAUAUAGGAACCCAUGCCUAAUGCUGUCUUUUCUCUGUAUAAUGACAGCCUGGCUUUGAGAUAUCAUCUCUGCUCAUUGCCAGGAGGGUAGAAAGGUGGGCUUCAGUGCUGUCCAUCUCUGUGCUCUGCCUGUGUGUGUUAUGCUUCUGAGGAAGCUGCACUGUUUUAUACAACUACAUUCCAGAAAGAAAGACAGAGGCACUUCUUAGUAUAUAUUCCUCUGAUUUGUAUCUACAUGUGUUUAUUCUUGCAUAAUCACACAUUGUGAGCAGUUUCAGGCCUAUUAUUUUUCCACUGAAUGUUACAUAAAUAUAUAUUCUCUAUGUUGGUAUAUGGCUUUCAUGGAUAUUAUUGAUUACAUAAAAUUCACAUAAUACGCCCCAUGUUCAAUCAAUUCAUCCUCUACUGGUAUUCAUUUGAGUUAUUUUCAAUAUUUAUAGACAGCAUUGCAUUGAAUAUCUAUGUAAAUGGAACUUACUCUGAUAUAUUCUCAUAGAACUAAUAGAUUUAGGAUUCUUGAUAUCUACUUGCUAUUUGUUGGUGGGAGGACUGACUGGACCCACUCACUUAGAGUAGAUCCCUUACUCUCAUACACUUGUCUGGACACUAUCAUUUAUUUUUAUUGUUUUACUUUGAUGGGUGAAAGAGGGGUCUCAUUGUAGCUUCAAUCUGUCUUUCUUUGGUGGUUAAAUAAGAUGCUGAUUUUUCUCAACUGUUCAUUUACUGAUUCUACUUCUCCUCACUGGAAAAAAUAGUUCCCAUCAAGUGAUCCACAUUUGCACCUUUCCCAGUAAGCUUUCUGAAUGGUUAACCAGGCUGUCCUCAGCUGGUGGAAUGGUUCAAGAUCAAAUAUUUGUGUCCUCCUGCAUGUUUCCGCACCUCUAGCCAGUCUUCAACAGUCAUAUUCUUCCACUUGAAGGCCUCACAGUGGCCUCAUAUAGACUGUCUUGUAACCCUUCAUUGACUGCCUGUAGUCACUUCCCCUGGACUUAGAAGAGCCUUUGGGAAUAUAUCUUGACCAACUGAUUAGUCAACACUGACUGCUCACAAUUCUCCACAGUCUGCCUCUAUCCACUUGCCACCUCUCCCAAGGCAAUCUUGGGCUCUGGUUACCUUGUCAUUGCUUCCUAUUUAGGUAUGUUUCUCCCUCUCUCUUGUGCCUUGGUUUAUGAGACCUCCUCCAAGAAUGCUUCUGUUUACUCUUGGGCCAUAUCCAACUAAACUAAACUCAUCCUCUGAGACCUUGCCUCCUUGGCUAAGCCUUCCUGGAUAUUUUAAAGCCACUCAGCCUCCUGUGCCUCUGAACAUCUGAAGGAUUUAUAGUCUAUAGGGGCUCUUUGAAAGGGCUCCCAAUACUCCAACAAAUAGUUCCUUUUCCCUACUCAACUUCUGAACAAAUUGAGAAAGAAAAACUGAGAUGAAAGCCAAAUUGUCAUCUUCUUUAGUGAUGGAGGCUUAGUGAAAGAGGCAGUUUAGAGUGAGGUCAACUGGAUAUGCAAACUGAUGUGAGAAUUACCCCUUUUCCACUUCACUCUAGUCUCACAUGAUCUGGGUGAGAGAGGCCCCACAUGUCACAGUCAGUGGAGACCCACACAUGGAAGGGAACAUGAGGAGUAAGAAAUCUGACAGAGCUCCUCACAGACCAUACCCCAGGGGAAAAUGUUAAAUCCUGUCUUGAAUUAUAAUUUAGUCUAUCUAUGGGUUUUGUCACUCUGGCUACCUUUGAGUUCCUUGAGGCCCAAGGAAGGUACAACUUCUUAUUGUCAUAGUGCCUUCCAGUAGGUAAAGAAGACUCGCCGUUAGCAAACUCCUUCUUCCCAUGUCUACCCACUCCAACUAGAUCUGAGAUUCUGUUCUGUUUUGAAGACCUCAUUUCUCUACUGAGGCAUGCCUGAGUGUGCAGGCAGAACCUAUAGGAAGAAACAGGGAUGUAACCACUAUCAUUGACUCAGGUCUCAGUCAGGAUGGUGAUAGGCCCUUUUCUGAGAGCAAGCUUCAUGAAGGUACAAGGACUGAGGGGACUAUUAUCCUUGGUGUCCUUACACUAGGAUAGAGGAGACAGCCAAACAAGAGAUUGAGAUAGCACAGGCAUGCUUUGCUCAACUCAUAAGAGUUGUGCUAAGAGUCUCUUUAGGGCUUCUAGUAGACUGAUUAAUGAAUUAUUUCUCAUCCAAGGCAGAGAGGAUUAAAUAUUGUGGGCUGGAUGUAGAAGCCCAUGGCCAGAGCUAGGUUACAAACUUCACUGCUCUGCUGGCUGCUGCUUUCUAGAGGCAUUUUGAAGCCCACCUGGUAAUGCCUGGAUUCCAGAGCUGUGGGUGCACACACAUCAUUGUACCACAUAGAGUUAGAAAAAGAUCUCUCUAAAAAUAACCACCGAGGAAUAUUUAAUUUGAUAGCAAGACUGUGACUAAUCCAUGAAACAAAGAGUCUGUGUGACAAGAUGCAGUACAAUAAUGGGGAGAAAUUCAUGUUUGACCUUUAAGCAAGUGCAAAAUGAAACAGAUCUAUACCUCAGCAGCUGAGGAUCCUGUGGGUCAAGGGAGAGUGGCUAUGAAGAGGGGAUUUGGGGGCUGGGGAUUUAGCUCAGUGCUUCCGGUGCCUGUUUCGCAAGCGCAAGGUCCCGAGUUCGAUCACCGGUACCAAAAAAAAAAAAAAAAGAGGGGAUUUGGGCUGGGGAUUUAGCUCAGUGUUUCCACCACCUGCCUCCAAAGCACAAGGACCCAAGUUUGAUCCCCAGUACAAAAAAAAGAAAAAGAAAAAGAAAAAAAAAGAGGGGAUGAGAACUGAUGGAAUAAAUAGUUCUUGAGGGUACUGCAUAAUGGAAAUAGCUUAGGAAAAUCAAUACCUUUUGGUGUUAAAUAGAGAGAAGAGGCUAGCACUGAGCUAAAUGCUGGCUGAGAAGAGGUGGAUGCUGCUAGCCCAGCUGGGCAAAAGUGAGCAAACUGGCUCUUUUAGGCUGGCUUGAAGGAGAAGCAGUUCCCACAAAUACAAUGAGAACCAGAAUUUUUGGCAACCAAUCUGAGCUGGUAGAGAGGGGAGCAAGGUUCCAAAUAUUUAAUGAACAUUUACCCUGUGCUAGGCUCUGUGUUGAGAGUUUUGCAGGUAUUAUCCUCAUACAUAUUCUUUCUAGAGAAGCUAUUAUUUUUACUUGACAGAGGAGAAAACUGGGUUUAGAAGUUUAAACCACUUGCCUGGAGUCAUCCAGCUUGGAAGUAUCUAGAGCUGGAUGUGAGUCUACUCCUGACUCCAGAACCCUCAAGCUCGAUUUCUCACUGAUAGUUCACUCUGAACUUGAAAAUCUCCAAGACUGUACAUCAACAAUGAACCCACUAAGAAAGGAAUUAGGAAAACAAUCCCAUUCAUGGUAGCUUCAAAAAAUUUAAAUACUGGGGCCAGGGAUUUUUCUCAGUGGUUCCGCUGCCUGCCUCAAAAGCGCAAGGUCCUGAGUUCCAUCCCGGGUACCAAAAAAAAAAAAAAAAAAAAAAAAUUAAAUACUUAGGUACUAACUUAACCAAGGAAGUGAAAAAUAUCUAUAAGGAAAACUAUAGCACUCUGAAGAAAGAUUGAAGAGGACAUUAGAAAAUGGGCAGAUAUCCUACAUUCCUGGAUGGGCAGAAUCAAUAUUGUCAAAAUGACCGUAUUAUCAAAAAUAAUACUUGGAUUUUAUGCAAUUCCAGUCAAAAUACCAACAACAUUCUUCACAGAACUAGAAAAAACAAUCCUAAAAUUUAUAUGAGGCUAUUUAUAUGGAGCCAAAGCAAUCCUGAACAAUAAGAGCAAAGCAAGAGGCAUUACAAUUCCAUAUUUCAAGUUAUACUACAAAGCUAUAAUCAUCAAAAGAGGAUAAAAAAUAGACAUGUACAGCAUUGGAAAAGAAUAGAAGAUACAGAAACAGCCCUUUUCACCUUUAGUCUGAUCUUUGACAAAGAUACUAAAAACAAAUGCUGGAGAAAAGACAGUCUCUUUAACACACGGUGCUGGGAAAAUUAGUUAUCCAUGUGUAAAAGAAUGAAUCUAGACCCAUCCGUCUCAUCCUAAGCUAAUAUAACAUCAAAAUAGAUCAAAGACCUACAUAUAACAACAGAUGCUGAACAUGCUGGAAGACAAAAUAUCUAAUUCUUGAAGACAAAGGCAUAGGCAUAGUUCUUUUUGAACAGAAUCCCAAACUAUACAUGAAAUAAUAUAAGAAUAGCAUUACCCCAAAUUAAAAAAAACUUCUGCAUAGCAAAGGAAAUAGAUUGAAGAGAUAACCUACUGAAUGGGAAAAUAAUUUUACCAGCUACUCCUUGAAGAGAAGACUAAUAUUUUGAAUUUAUAAAGAACUGAAAAAAAAUUAGACCUCAAAAAACAAAAGACCCAAUCAAAAAUGGGCAAUUGAAAUGAAUAGGCACUUCUUAAAAGAAGUGCAAAUGACCAAUAAGUACAUAAAAAGCUUUUCAGCAUCUUUGGCCAUUAAAAAACAAAAAUCAAAACACUGAUAUUCCAUCUUACUUCAGUAAGAAUGGGUAUCAUCAAAGACUCAAGAAACAACAAAUUUUGGUGAGGUUGUGGGGAUAAAGGAAACUUCUACAUUGUUAAUGGGAAUGUAAACUAGUAGAACCCCUAUGAAAAUCAGUAUGGAGAUUUCUCAGAAAACUAAAAGUAAAAAACUUCAAUUUGACCCAGUUAUACCCUUUCUGGGUAUCUUUCCAAAAGAGUUAAAGUUAUCAUAUUAUAAUGAUUAAUGAAUACUCAUGUUUAUAGCAGCACAGUUCACAAUAGCUAAAUUCUGGAAGUUACCUAUACUGUAUGCCUAUCAACAAAUGAAUGGAUAAAGAAAAUGUGGAAAAUAUACACAAUAGAGUACUACUCAGCCAUAAGAGGGAUAAAUAUGAGUUAUUUGUAGGAAAAUUGAUGGAUCUUGAGAUAUAAUGCUAAGUGAAGUAAAUCAGACACAGAAGGUUAAAUAUCACAUGGUUUUUCAUAUGAGAAAGCCAAAAUAUAAAUAAUUUAAACAGCAAAAUAAAGAUGGCAGGAAACAGGAAGAUUUUGAAGAUGGGAAGAUCUGGGAAAGGAAAAGAGGGGAAAGGGAAAGAAGAGUAAAGAUGAUCAACAUGCAAUAUGUGAAUGUACCAAUUCCCAAAAAUGAAUGUAAUUAUUAUAUGUCACAAACAUAUAUUAAUAACAAAUUUUAAAAAAGAAAAGAAAAAGCCUAAGCCUGGCCUGAUAGCCUGGGAUCAUGGGUGGGAGGCUGAGGACAGGUGUGGUUUCAGUGGGGGCUGUCUAGUGAUGAGUUCUCAUAGAAAAUUGCUGAGAUUCCUGGCAUGGCAGGUUUCUAUAUGGGAUCAUUUCUCUGAUUGUUCUAUAAUUCACGACUGCAUAUUAUAAAUUUUGAUCCAUUGCCUUGGGUUCUAAUUGGAGAACAUUCUCCAUUUCAUAGAGUUGCUUUCUUUAGUGGUGACAAGGGGAAUACUGUUCCUGCCACUCCCUGGGUAGGGAUCCUAUGUAUUCUGAGUACAUCCAACGUAUGCUCAUAUGAGAGUUUGUUAAAGAUUUUUUUUCCAUUCUCUAAUAAAUAUUUAUCAAGAAAGAGAUCAACAACGGUCUUUGAUUAGAUUCAGUGCCAAUUGGUGUCUGGCAUGCUUGGCAUUAUUCUGUCCCUGGCCCCUUUGCAUGUGCUGGGUUGUAGGUGGCAAUCAAGGAAUUAAGGCUGCAGCUGAAGCAGUGGUCCCAGAAACCCUCUUAGACACUGGAAAGUGACCUGGGCAGGGAAGUAAAUUGUUCUUCCUCUUUGAGCUUGGGAGAUGAGGCCUGGAGUUUGAGCACAGAUGUGCCAUCUUGAAAAUAAAAGAAGGAUUGGCUCGAGGAGAGAUGCUUGGAGUAGUCUUGGGUUAGGCAUGGUCCUGGAUGUCUCUGCACAGACUUUCUUGGGUGCUCAGAGAAUUGGGGAAUAUCCAGCAGUGCCUCUAAGCCCAGUCCAGGGAGAUGGACCUUUUCCUAGGCUGUUCCCUCGAGAAGCCCAGAAUAUCCUUGAGGGGCCUGGUCUUAUUCAUGUCUCUUAUCUUUGCUUCUGACCCAAGUCCAGCAACGAUUGUUGCUCUAAUGUCAUGUGAUCCAGCAAGGCUCUAAGACCAGACUCUGCCUCCAACUCUAGCCACACUUUUCCCACUCUCCAGUUACUUGUCACUCACACAAUACAUGUUGUUUUCCAUUCUUUGGCUACAUCAAGGUCCUCCCCUGCCAUGUCUACUUCCCUAAAUGCUGUUCUCUUUGUCUAGAACACUUUAUCUACUUCUUUACCUGGCUGAUUUAUCCACAUUGACAGGUUCCAGCUUAUUGUUUUUUUUUUUGUUUGUUUGUUUUUGUUUUUUUUAGUAUCAGGGAUCAAACUUGGGACCUUGCACUUGUGAGGCAGGUGGCAGCACCACUGAGCUAGAUCCCUGGCCUGACAGGUUCCAGUUUAGCUAUCAUUUCCUCCAGGAAGUCUUCCUUGACUUGCAAACUAGGUCAGGCUUCCUGGCUGGUGCUGUCUUUGUUCUUAUGUCUGCAAUUAGAGGUUCACUUGGGUAAUAAUUGGUCCAAUGUCUUCCUCACAACUAGAUGGUAAACUCUGUGAUGGGAAAGACCGUGGACAUUUUCUGACCUGAAACUUGCAUAAUAAGUGAGCAAAACUUUUUGGAGAAUAAAUGAUUCAAAUUUCUCACACUUCAGUCACAUAACAAUUCAAACAUGGGGUAGCUGGUGCUGUACCAAACAAACAGGCUUUGUUUUGCAGUUAAUGAAUUAGUGAAGGCAUAGCAAUUGAUUGCUUUUUAUGUGUAGAGAAAUUAUCUCUGUCCUGAUUUUCAAUAUCUGUGCUAUUUUGGGCUGUUUUUCUCUUUUUGGCCUAUUUGUAUUGCCGCAAUAAUUUCACCAUUUGGCUUCACAGAGGCCCAAUAACUAUUACAAAUAAGGUUCCAUAAAAUUUACUUCUUGACAUUAGAAUGUUUUGUUGCUAAUUACUCUCUGAGGUUUUUAAUUUCAAUCCCUCCUAGGUGAUUUAGUGCAGAAAUUCAAGGGCACAGUUAUUUCCCCCAAAGGGAAAGGAGAACUAAGUAAUGCCAAGUUUCUAUUUGCCCUACCUUCUGGUAGAGCUAUCUCAGUUUUGAUUCUAUCUAUUGUACUUUAUCCUGGCCAGAAAAGAAUAAGUGAACAAAAAUCUUACUGGAAAAAAGAUAUAAAUUCUUGGGGAAAAAUAAAAGUACUCUUUCACUAAUGUAGUCAUUUGAACAAUAUUUAUUGAGUACUUAUGAGGUGUGAUCCAAAAAUAAGAUGAAUGCUUAAAUUUUUAAAAAAUUAAGUAAAAGACAUUACCAUGAAUCCCUCCUCAAAAUACUCCCCCUUGCUUUGAACACAGUUACUCUGUCAUUCUUUGAAGCACUUCUGGAAGUUCUCUCUUGUGUCUUUAGUUGUGCUGUUGUGGUUGCCUAGAUGUUCUGAAUCAGUUCAAAACAUUUACUACCUUUCAUGGUCAUUUUGACUUUCAGGAAGAGCCAGAAGUCAUAUGGUGCCAGAUCUGGUGAAUAAGGUAGUUGAAGACAUACAGUAAUGUUUUUACAAGGCUGCCGUUCUGUUGGCUGGCAGCAUUCAUUAUAUUUUUUGUCACACCUUGUAAAGACAGUCAGAAAAGAGGACUGUCAGAACUGCUUCAGAAAGUGGCAAGAACAAUAGGAUAAAUAUUUUCAAAAUGAGGGGGAUUAAUGGCAAUCUGUCUUUUACUGUAAUACUUUAAAAAAGGUUAAAAAAUAUUCACUGUAUAUUUUGAUCACACCUUGAAUUAUGCAUCAGAUUCUGUGUUCUAGGCAUGGAAGAUGAAUAAAAGAAUACAACAUGUUGCUGUCUCCAGGUAGUUCACAGAGUUGGGUGGGCAAGAAAUGUUGAAGAUUCUCAGGCAUGUCUGGGAGUGAAUCUCAUGGUGGAACUUGGUAGCAAAAGCCCAUCCAGAAGUGUCAUAUCAGUCUCCAGGGGUUGAAAUGAGGGGAACUUUGGUUAUUUUUCAUUUGAAGACACUGUCUAACUGGAAAGAAUGUGAAUUUUAAUAAUAUUUUGAAUGGGUUGAUAAAAUAGGAACAGAUGGUUAAAGUUUGUCAUUUCAGGAAAAAUAAUGAAAUAUUGCACAGCUGAAUCUGCCUCUCUUUCACACUCUUCCCUAUCCCCUCCCCACCGCAGAUACACUCAGAUGCAUGAAAAUUUAAAGCAAAAUACUAAUAAUAUCUUUUAGCCACUUUAGGUCUCCAUACCCAAAAGGACCCUAACUUUUUCAGUCAUUUCUAUGUUACUGUGUUAGCCUUUUAUUCCAAUGGUGCAUCCUGAGAGGAGCCUUUCUACAGGAUAUUGCUUUGUGGGGAUAUAAGAGAUGGUGGGGAAGUGAGACUUGCCUGAGUGUCUCUCUGCCAUGAAGAAAACUGGCUUUGCUUUAUUGACCAGAGCAGAUGUACUCUUUGAGGAACUCAGCAGGGUAAGUAUGAGUUGGGUAAGAUAUCCUAUCUACCAGCUCCUAGGAUUUUUAUGAGUAGAAGCUCUAACUGCUGACACGUUCCUGGUCAAGAGAAAGCAGAUCCUCACCAUUAUCACCUGUACUUUCUUGGAUUUAUUCCAGUUGCACAUCUCUGAAGUUUUCCUUUUAUUCUGCUUGGACAGCACAUUAGAUGAGAUCAAACGCUGAGAGAGAGACAUAAGCACUGCUUUGGCACUGUUGCUAGAAACUCUUGGGAGAAUGAGCAUUGUGUACCAUUUGCCCAUUGCUUGCCGACUUCAGUAGCAAGAGUCUUCAGAAUGCUCCUGGAUAAACAUAAUCUUUGUGGCCAUACAUUGUUUUAUGAGCUGAGUCUUUAGCUUGGCUGGCUCCUUAAAUGCUGCUGUCUGAUUCUCCAGGCAGCAGAAAACAAGGAAAGAAGAGCUCACCGAGCUUUGUGGAUGGCCAAUUUCACUUGCCAAAGGCUAUUUUGAAUAUCCACCAGUCUGAAAGAGUUUCCUGCUGAAAGCAUGACUACUUCCUUACUCAUCGAGUUUCGUUUAUCAUUUAAGGAUGAAUGCCCUCCUAUCCUGUAGCUGAGGUGUGCAAUCAUGGUGUGGACAAUUUUUUUGGAGGGAGUCUGAAGAAACUGUUAUCUAAGAUGGAUUCAUACUGGAAGCAAGAGAGCAAACUGGGAAAAAUGGCCUUAGGCUCUGUGAUUGUCAUUGUGUACAUUAGACAAGACAAUGAAAGUAGAGGAUGAAAUAAGACCUUUCUGGUUGUUCAGAAGGCCUGUGUAGCUUGGCCCCACUUACUGGACAGAGCUUCCUGGAGAGAGUUUUUCGAGAAUGUGGCUUCAUUCCAUAGUAUUGCUUUAUGGUGGCCAUUGGGCAGGGGGAUCUAUCUUCCUGGGAGUUAGUUACAUAAAUAAAGACAUCUCUUUUGUUAUGCUCUUGGAAUCCCUUACCUUUCUCCCCGCAAAAGAUGUAUCUGGCUAUUGAGAAACUAAACAUUCACAGAACAGACAUUUUCUGGACAAGACUGGGCAGCCUUUAUUGGUGGGUGAAGUAGUCCAGAGAUCAAGAGGUGGUAGCAAUAAUUCAGGUGAGCACUCUCAGGCCUGAGAGAAAUUACCAGUUACAAAGGAC